RNAcentral lists this long non-coding RNA (558 nucleotides) under Gallus gallus (chicken). Lineage: Eukaryota; Metazoa; Chordata; Aves; Galliformes; Phasianidae. The record is from RNAcentral.
UUUUCAUGACUGAAAAACAGCUUUCCACCAAGAUCCCCUCAAAUGAGAUUGCAGAAAUUCUUCUUUCUCCUUCCUCCCUGGCUCUCUUAUCAUGCAAUUCUCUUCAUGCUGUUCACCAAGACCAAAUCUGAGCCAGCCUGAGAUUUGUGCUAACGGCAUCAGAAUGGGCUCCACAGAACAUCCUUUGCAUGGAAGGCAGCCAGUGAUGACAGCAAGCUUUAUCCAUCACAAAGCUGAAGAAAUAGGUCAAGGCGAUCCUUCUCCCUGCACUGAAGAGCAAAAGAAACCUUUGAUAGAAGCCCAAACAGGGAGAUCUCCACCAUUUCCUUCUGCCAUACAUUGACCUUUGCAUCCCUCAGUACCACUGGGAUCUCCUAUGCCCCCCACAGACCCAAGGAGGAGCAGCAUCUUUUGUUACAAGGUGGUUGGUAAAAUUAACUGUACAUCUGUAAGAGUACUCGUACGUCUUGAUUACCACAGCCACCCAGGGGUCUGUAAAUGAGAGCUACAGAGCAUAAUGAGAAAACCCAGCUACAUUUGAUCUGGCAUUGGACCACC